This 387-nucleotide ribosomal RNA is filed under the name Triticum aestivum (bread wheat). RNAcentral describes it as "partial small subunit ribosomal RNA". Lineage: Eukaryota; Viridiplantae; Streptophyta; Magnoliopsida; Poales; Poaceae. The record is from RNAcentral.
AUGGGGUGCGCGAGGGGAUCGAGCGGGGCUCGUGUUGUCGUGGGUGGUGGCGGCGCACUGGAGGGAAACGAGGGAGAGGGUGUCAGGCUAGGGUUAGCAGGAGGCUGGACAGGGCUAGGGAUUAGGUGGGCCUGCGGGGAAGGUGGCCUUGGGGCCGGCCCAGUAGAGAGGAGGGGGGUCAGCUGGGCCUUAAGGCAAAAGGGCAGGCCUGGCACGCCUAAGAGGCUGGGCUCUUCUCUCCCUCUAUUUGCUCUAUUCAAAAACAACAGAAAAAGAGGAAGAAAAGGGAAGAAAAGAAAGAUAGAGAAAGAGUUUGGGCACAGGAAUAAAUUUCCCGGACUCGCAAAAAUGCGCAUGUUCCAAGAAAAAUGGAGUAGGCAUUUUUGA